This 394-nucleotide ribosomal RNA is filed under the name uncultured bacterium. Its description in RNAcentral is "bacterial SSU rRNA". It matches the Rfam family "Bacterial small subunit ribosomal RNA", at positions 30 to 423 of the family's 1533-position model. The record is from RNAcentral.
AUUGAACGCUGGCGGCGUGCCUAACACAUGCAAGUCGAGCGGUAACAGGUGUAGCAAUACAUGCUGACGAGCGGCGGACGGGUGAGCAAUAUUUGGGAAUCUGCCUAUUAGUGGGGGAUAACCCGGGGAAACUCGGGCUAAUACCGCAUACGCUCUACGGAGGAAAGCCGGGGACCGCAAGGCCUGGCGCUAGUAGAUGAGCCCAAAUCGGAUUAGCUAGUUGGUGAGGAACGGCUCACCAAGGCGACGAUCCGUAGCUGGUUUGAGAGAACGACCAGCCACACCGGAACUGAGACACGGUCCGGACUCCUACGGGAGGCAGCAGUGGGGAAUCUUGCGCAAUGGUCUAACGACUGACGCAGCGACGCCGCGUGUGGGAGGACGCCUUUCGGGU